This 736-nucleotide ribosomal RNA is filed under the name uncultured bacterium. RNAcentral describes it as "bacterial SSU rRNA". It matches the Rfam family "Bacterial small subunit ribosomal RNA", at positions 59 to 809 of the family's 1533-position model. The record is from RNAcentral.
CAGUCGACGGUGAACUCCGCUUGCUGGAGUGGAUCAGUGGCGAACGGGUGAGUAACACGUGAGCAACCUGCCCCAAACUCUGGAAUAAGCACUGGAAACGGUGUCUAAUACUGGAUACGAGACCAACCUGCAUGGGUAUGGUUUGGAAAGUUUUUCGGUUUGGGAUGGGCUCGCGGCCUAUCAGCUUGUUGGUGAGGUAAUGGCUCACCAAGGCGACGACAGGUAGCCGGCCUGAGAGGGCGACCGGCCACACUGGGACUGAGACACGGCCCAGACUCCUACGGGAGGCAGCAGUGGGGAAUAUUGCACAAUGGGCGAAAGCCUGAUGCAGCGACGCCGCGUGAGGGAUGACGGCCUUCGGGUUGUAAACCUCUUUCAGCAGGGAAGAAGCGAAAGUGACGGUACCUGCAGAAGAAGCACCGGCUAACUACGUGCCAGCAGCCGCGGUAAUACGUAGGGUGCGAGCGUUGUCCGGAAUUAUUGGGCGUAAAGAGCUUGUAGGCGGUUUGUCGCGUCUGCUGUGAAAAUCCGGGGCUCAACCCCGGACUUGCAGUGGGUACGGGCAGACUAGAGUGUGGUAGGGGAGACUGGAAUUCCUGGUGUAGCGGUGAAAUGCGCAGAUAUCAGGAGGAACACCGAUGGCGAAGGCAGGUCUCUGGGCCACUACUGACGCUGAGAAGCGAAAGCAUGGGGAGCGAACAGGAUUAGAUACCCUGGUAGAAUCACUAGUGAAUUC